GUUUAGGNGUAAACCUGAGAAACCCGAAAGGUCGAAGGGAGAAAUUCAUUCGCGUUUCGGCGUCGGCGUGUACGCGGUCGAGCGACGGGGAGGGUGCGUUCGCGCGUAACUUCCCCGCGUCUUCCGUUUCACGAUCCGUAGCCGAACGCGUGCACUUUUCUCCUGGUAGGACGUCGCGAUCCGUCGAGUGUCGGUCUACGGCCCGCGGUGGAGCCUCGUCGGACGGUUCACGCCGUUGUUCCGAUGAGACCCGCGGUGACCCGGCCGGCUCGCUCGACGGUAUACCAUACGGUACGGGGCCGCUUACAGAGCGUCCGGCUCGCGACAAGCGCGUCGGAAGUGUCGGAUAUCGGACCUGGUGCCGGUACCGAUCUCCGAUGACUGUUGGUCGCGAAGCUCUCGGACAGACCCUAGUCGUCGUCGGCUCGCCGGCGACGAUCAUACCGAUCUGCGACGCUAUAGCUUUGGGUACUUUCAGGACCCGUCUUGAAACACGGACCAAGGAGUCUAGCAUGUGCGCGAGUCAUUGGGAAUCUAUAAACCUAAAGGCGCAAUGAAAGUAAAGGCCCGUCUCGCACGGGCCGAGGGAGGAUGUUCGGAUCGUCGUCAAAAACGACCGAACCGCACUCCCGGGGCGUCUCGUUCUCAUCGCGAGAAGAGGCGCACCAAGAGCGUACACGCUGGGACCCGAAAGAUGGUGAACUAUGCCUGGUCAGGACGAAGUCAGGGGAAACCCUGAUGGAGGUCCGUAGCGAUUCUGACGUGCAAAUCGAUCGUCGGAACUGGGUAUAGGGGCGAAAGACUAAUCGAACCAUC
Molecule: ribosomal RNA, 816 nt
Filed under: Brentinae gen. sp. 2 BHJ-2011
Lineage: Eukaryota; Metazoa; Arthropoda; Insecta; Coleoptera; Brentidae
Description: eukaryotic LSU rRNA
Rfam family: Eukaryotic large subunit ribosomal RNA
Source: RNAcentral